RNAcentral lists this ribosomal RNA (440 nucleotides) under uncultured bacterium. RNAcentral's name for it is "partial 16S ribosomal RNA". It matches the Rfam family "Bacterial small subunit ribosomal RNA", at positions 338 to 795 of the family's 1533-position model. The record is from RNAcentral.
CCUACGGGAGGCAGCAGUGGGGAAUAUUGCACAAUGGGGGAAACCCUGAUGCAGCGACGCCGCGUGAGUGAAGAAGUAUUUCGGUAUGUAAAGCUCUAUCAGCAGGGAAGAAAAUGACGGUACCUGAUUAAGCAGCCACGGCUAACUACGUGCCAGCAGCCGCGGUAAAACGUAGGGGGCAAGCGUUAUCCGGAUUUACUGGGUGGAAAGGGAUCGUAGACGGCAGCACAAGUCUGGAGUGAAAUGCCUGGGCUUAACCCCGGAACUGCUUUGGAAACUGUGCAGCUAGAGUGCAGGAGAGGUAAGUGGAAUUCCUAGUGUAGCGGUGAAAUGCGUAGAUAUUAGGAGGAACACCAGUGGCGAAGGCGGCUUACUGGACUGUAACUGACGUUGAGGCUCGAAAGCGUGGGGAGCAAACAGGAUUAGAUACCCCGGUAGUC